AUGUUCAGGGCUAGGUCUCCUGGCAGAGUGGCUCUGAAUGCCCCCUGCAGUGAGAAGGACUCUGGCUGCCCUGGACGGAGAGGGGCUCAACCAGCUGGGAGUCCUCAGUGCCAUGCCAAGGGCCGCCUUAUCUUCCUCUCCCAAAUGCCGCUUUCAAAACAGAUUCAUUCCCCAAACGGAUGUGACCCCAGCACAGGAGAAAUGCAUGACAGCCGGAUAAUAAACCCACAGAUCAGAACUGUCAGAUCGUCUUCAGAGCAACAGGCAACACGCUCUCCCGAGACUUGACCAGAAAGCUAUUUUCUAAAAGACGUUAUUUCCCAAUUAUGGAAGUAAGAUGUCCCCCUUACAGGUAAGUUCAUAAAGUGCAGAAAAGUGUACUGGUGAUGGUUCCAUAUUGUGGGCGUUCGUGCCAAGGCAAAGGUCUUGAGAAGCACAGCAGUUGCCUUCACCACUGGCUUCCCAUGAAAACCACGAGGAGGGUAUUAUUAUCCCCCCAACUUCAGAUGGGAAAGCUCAGGUCCAGGGGAAUUAAUAGCUCUCCUGGCCAGGCGCGGUGGCUCAUGCCUGUAAUCCCAGCACUUUGGGAGGCCGAGAUGGGCGGAUCACGAGGUCUGGAGAUCAAGACCAUCGUGGUUAACACAGUGAAACCCCGUCUCUACUAAAAAUACAAAAAAUUAGCUGGGCGUGGUGGCGGGUGCCUGUAGUCCCGGCUACUCGGGAGGCUGAGGCAGGAGAAUGGUGUGAACCCGGGAGGCAGAGCUUGCAGUGAGCUGAGAUCGCGCCCCUGUACUCCAGCUUGGGUGAUAGAGCGAGACUCUGUCUCAAAAAAAAAAAAAAAAAAAAAAAGCUCUCCCAAGGUUGCAGAUUCGGGGUCACUGGUGGAGCCAGGAAGCAAAUCCAAGCCUCAUGACAAAUCUUGAUUCUGACGUGUGACGAGAGAUGGUUACUGCCAGCCAUGCCAGCCUCAGGCUAACCUGCCCCAAUCCUGGGGGAUCCCUUCAACUCACCCAGCACAGCUGCAGCCAGGUAGAGCCAGGCCACGUGCUAAUUCCAGCCCUGAGCCCAGCCAGGCUACCUGGCGGGGGAGACCCACUCUCUCCUCAGCGCCCCCGUCUGUGCCUGUAAACCCUGGUCCACACUAGAUGCAUCUUCUGGGGAUGCUGUGAGAAUUGCAUGAGAAUAGGUGUGGGUGCCCGGGCCCCCAGAGCUGCCCCCAGAGACACCCCCAGCACAGAUGAGCUUUUACGGGGACCCCAUAGGUUUCCAUUUCUCUGUCCUUGCGGUAAUACUGGCAUAUAAUUUUGACACUCCCUGUUUUAUCCUCAAAUGAAAGGUGAAGGCUGGCUGCUUCUCUGCCCUCUCUAGGACUCACCUGUAGCCCUGGAACAAGGCUGCUCUUGCUUGGGACACUGCCCAGCAGGCAGAGGUGCCCAGCACAGAGGCCUCUGCACACCCAGACACAACCCGGGUUCUGAUAGCCUGGCCGGGAUCCACACAGCCCCGUGGGAUGGGAACGACACUGGCCAAGCUGCACGAUUCCCCAGGAGGAGGAACAGGGUAUUUUUUAAAAGGGAUGCAUAAUAAUUGUACAUAUCCAUGUUGUACAGAGUAAUGUUUCCAUACAUACAAUGUGUAGUGAUCAAAUCAGGAUGAUUAGCACUUCCAUCAUUUAACAUUUCCUUGUGUUCAGAGCAUUCAAAAUAGUCCUUUCUAGCUUUCUGCGUGUGUGUCAUGGUUUUGUCCAUUGCUGUCUUCCCCACAUGGGGACAGUGCACGGUGCAAGGUUUGCCUUUAAAUAAGUCGAUAUCAGGGAAAUCUUCCAGGAGAAGAUGGCGUCCGUGCUGGGUCUCAGGAACCCGGGGUAACUUCAGCAGAGGACAGCGCUACAGAGAAGAUCUCCUGCAGAGGGCUGGGGGAGCCAGGGCCUGAGCUGUGGGCUCCUGGGCAUGUCCAAGGCCUGGCAGGGCCUAGGGAAGGUGGCUUGUGCCCUCACAAUGGAGGGCCUUGAAUGCAGUGGGGGGAUCCCUCAAGUACCUUGGGCUGAUCAGCACUCUUGCUUUGGAGGGAAAAUGCGGAGUGCUCACGUGAUUCUGCACAGGAAGCUUCAUUUUCAAGAUGGGUGAUUUGGCCAUGGGAUGAGGACCCGGUAUGGGAUCCCCUCCUCAGCUGCAGAAGAGGAGCAAGGCCGGGAGAGAGGGGCUGGAAGCAGAGAGACCUGACGCCUGGAUUCAGGCAUCAGGGAGGGUAUGGCCAGCUCUGUUCUGAGAUUGCUCACCUGGGUGAACUCGAGGCUGGUGGGAACCUUAGUAGGGACAGGAGGCCACCUUAGGGGGAGGGUGCUGUUUUGGGACUGAUCAAUUCCCCAACCCAUGAGUACUAAAUACUUCCUCUGGGCUUCAUUCUGUGAGACCAGGAGUGGCCUUCUGGUCAACCCAUCUCAGAAGCAUUUUGCAAAGGUGGAUGGAUGCUCCCAGCCCCACAACCUCUGGCCCUGGCAUCUCUGUGGGUGCCAGGAUGCAGAGGUGGGCUGCAGAGGCCUAGACCCCGCAGAAGUGCCCUUGCCUGUUGAGUAGAGCUGUUUCAGCCUAAGUGCCCUCCAC
This is a long non-coding RNA of Macaca fascicularis (crab-eating macaque), 2603 nucleotides long. NCBI's taxonomy places the organism in Eukaryota, Metazoa, Chordata, Mammalia, Primates, Cercopithecidae. The record is from Ensembl.